GAAGACGACCAUAAUAGUCUGGAAACACCUGUUCCCAUUCCGAACACAGAAGUUAAGCAAGCUAUGUUACUGGUGCUAGUUUCAGAGAUGAAGCAAAGCCAAUAUGUUGUCUUCA
Molecule: ribosomal RNA, 115 nt
Filed under: Candidatus Pacearchaeota archaeon
Lineage: Archaea; Nanobdellati
Source: RNAcentral